Molecule: transfer RNA, 77 nt
Filed under: Aeromonas salmonicida subsp. smithia
Lineage: Bacteria; Pseudomonadati; Pseudomonadota; Gammaproteobacteria; Aeromonadales; Aeromonadaceae
Description: tRNA-Val
Rfam family: tRNA
About the family: Transfer RNA (tRNA) molecules are approximately 80 nucleotides in length. Their secondary structure includes four short double-helical elements and three loops (D, anti-codon, and T loops). Further hydrogen bonds mediate the characteristic L-shaped molecular structure. tRNAs have two regions of fundamental functional importance: the anti-codon, which is responsible for specific mRNA codon recognition, and the 3' end, to which the tRNAs corresponding amino acid is attached (by aminoacyl-tRNA synthetases). tRNAs cope with the degeneracy of the genetic code in two manners: having more than one tRNA (with a specific anti-codon) for a particular amino acid; and 'wobble' base-pairing, i.e. permitting non-standard base-pairing at the 3rd anti-codon position.
Source: RNAcentral
GGGUUUAUAGCUCAAUUGGUUAGAGCACUACCUUGACAUGGUAGGGGUCGUUGGUUCGAAUCCAAUUAAACCCACCA